AAUACGUUCCCGGCCUUGUACACACCGCCCGUCACACCACGAAAGUCGGCAACACCCGAAGCCGGUGGCCCAACCCGCAAGGGGGGGAGCCGUCGAAGGUGGGGUCGGUGAUUGGGGUG
Molecule: ribosomal RNA, 119 nt
Filed under: uncultured bacterium
Lineage: Bacteria
Description: partial 16S ribosomal RNA
Rfam family: Bacterial small subunit ribosomal RNA
Source: RNAcentral